CCUACGGGGGGCAGCAGUGGGGAAUAUUGGACAAUGGGCGAAAGCCUGAUCCAGCCAUGCCGCGUGUGUGAAGAAGGCCUUCGGGUUGUAAAGCACUUUCAGUGGGGAAGAAAGCCUUGGGGCGAAUACCCUCGAGGAAGGACAUCACCCACAGAAGAAGCACCGGCUAACUCCGUGCCAGCAGCCGCGGUAAUACGGAGGGUGCGAGCGUUAAUCGGAAUUACUGGGCGUAAAGCGCGCGUAGGCGGUCUGAUAAGCCGGUUGUGAAAGCCCCGGGCUCAACCUGGGAACGGCAUCCGGAACUGUCAGGCUAGAGUGCAGGAGAGGAAGGUAGAAUUCCCGGUGUAGCAGUGAAAUGCGUAGAGAUCGGGAGGAAUCCCAGUGGCGAAGGCGGCCUUCUGAACUGACACUGACGCUGAGGUGCGAAAGCGUGGGUAGCAAACAGGAUUAGAUACCCCAGUAGUC
Molecule: ribosomal RNA, 465 nt
Filed under: Vreelandella stevensii
Lineage: Bacteria; Pseudomonadati; Pseudomonadota; Gammaproteobacteria; Oceanospirillales; Halomonadaceae
Description: partial 16S ribosomal RNA
Rfam family: Bacterial small subunit ribosomal RNA
Source: RNAcentral